CGCGGGGUGGAGCAGCUCGGAGCUCGCUGGGCUCAUAACCCAGAGGUCGCAGGUUCAAAUCCUGUCCCCGCUA
Molecule: transfer RNA, 73 nt
Filed under: Streptomyces sp. BPTC-684
Lineage: Bacteria; Bacillati; Actinomycetota; Actinomycetes; Kitasatosporales; Streptomycetaceae
Description: tRNA-Met
Rfam family: tRNA
About the family: Transfer RNA (tRNA) molecules are approximately 80 nucleotides in length. Their secondary structure includes four short double-helical elements and three loops (D, anti-codon, and T loops).
Source: RNAcentral